UACUGGUGCUGGUCAACCGAAUCAGAACCCACAACGCCCGCAGACCAGCCUGACACAUCGUGUGCAAAAUGAUCGGACGCACGAAUUGCAGUGCGAGAACGAAGGUGUUAAAUCUGGACUUUUAAAAGUGUGGCUGUGCUGCGAUGACGUCACACGUGUUGGUUAUAAGCGGAAUCGUAAAAAUAAGAGUUUACUGGUACGGUUCAGCCGCCAUUGGUUGUAAACGAGGGGAAUUGCUGUAAAUGACCACUUGGCAUCGAAAUAAGCUGUAACCGGAAAGCACGUAAAAUAUCUGGCCACCCUACAGAGGCCUCCAGCGCUGAUGCCGGCUGCUACUACUGCCGUUUUGAUUGUCUGCUACGUUUGCAUCUUUUCUUCAGCGAGGACAGCCGCUGUGCUUUCUCCGCAGCCCGGAUAUUUCCAGGAGCACGCUGACAAGCAUCCUGCGACGGGAAUCGGUUUAACUCGCACGGCCCCCGUGAGACACACGCAUCGCCCCCCCCCCCUCUUUCGACUCUCUUGGGUACAGUCUGAACCGUCACAGCGAGGAAGAAGCCGAAAAAUUACUUUUUAGCACAGCCUAUGUAGUUUUAUGCAUUCAUUCCCCACUGUUUUUUUUUUUACUGUAUUUCGCUAUGGUGAUUCACGAAGAAACAAGGUAACAGGUACAACGGCGCAGAGCCCUGCAUCAUUUUUGUACCAAGCACAGGGCGUCACGCUGUUAUCUAUUGAUUGACUUACGUAAUGAUAACCUUCCCUGGCGUGCGUGUUAAAUUUGCAUUAAUUUGUACUUGUCACCGGCACUUUAUUAUAGCCUGGGUGACUGCUUUUUGUAUGAACUACUGCGGCCUUGUAAACGAUUCGCCAGAAUUGCAUUGAACUUGCAUUCAAUAUAAGUAUAGACUUAAUUUCACCGUUAACUAACUAUACAGUUGGGAGUACAAUCAUUUUCGCCUUAAACACUUUUUUCAUAGAUAAUAAAUGGCGGCGCACUUAGCACUGAAUGAGCGAAGGGACAGUUUUAACCUUACUGUGCUAUCCUAACAGUUGUGUACAAUAAUCUCACCGGAAGUAGUACAUUGGUUUAGCUCAAAUUAAAUUGAGCCCUCUUCUUGAGGGUUAGGGGACUCGUUCUUAGACGUGUAACUAUGAAAUCAGUUUGUUUAAUUGACCAUUCAGGCUUAAACAAUUGUGCCAGACCCACCCAGAGGAACUUUGUGUGAGAGCCCCGAUUUAUGGAGAGCUGCUAGACCAGCCUGCUAGACGAGGGACGUGCCCUCGAAGACGGGAUUUGGGGACUUCUGGCCCUGAAGGGCGCCAGGAAGACUUUAUUUACUCGUGCUCAUUCCUUCGCUUGCUCCUGUUGUAAUAAGUGGUCCAACGGCGUCGUCAUUCUCAUUUGCGACCUUUUCUUUUUCUGCCUGCGGGAAACGCGCGGGCCUCUACCGUUGUCCUGGCAUGCAAACGGCUUCUUUUUGUUUCUCAGAAAAGAUUUGAAUUUCUGGCACGGGCGAAGCUCGAGGAGCGGCGGGUAAUCUGCAGUCUCGCCAGUUCUAACUAACCUCCGAGAGCACCGGCUUCGAGUUUGUCUGGGAAGCUGAAGCCCUCGGGGGGCCCUGUCAUUUACGUUUCUACGCACACCCAUGAUCAAGCCUGUAUCACCUUAGUCAUGCAGAUGACCUAAUCAGAAAAGGAGAAAUUAAGAACAGGAAAUGAACAGGAAAUGUUGUGGAAUCAUCACGCUGGGAUCUUUUUCAUUUUGAUCCAACUAAUCCAGAAGCCCGCUUCUUGAGAGUUGAAUGAAAGCGUGGAUGCCAUCAACACCAGUCGUCACAGCUCCGCAGUAGAUGUGAAUGGUGCUUCAGUGAUUCCCUGGUACUUCUUGGCGACUUUUGUUACUUUUAAUUUUUCUGAACCCGUCAGCCAAUGCCUGCUUACCAUUGUGGCUCCCUGAUCUAACACAACAGCCAGGUCCAUUUCCGCCCUCAGCAAUCAGAAGCACAAACUCCUAGCCCACCGGGAAGAAGAUUAUUGCAGUGAAGAACCCUAACCAGGAGAAGUUCCCCGGAAACAUCAGUUUCGUCUCCCUACAUUGCUGUACUGUAUGUCACACACAGUGCAGCCUCUGGCGUGGGGUUCAGCGAGUCCUCUUUGGCGAAGCAGUCAGCGGUGGCCGGGACUCAUGGGGGAGAAUCCAGGAAUUCAUGUUUUUCUGUGCCCUGCUUGUCUGGAAGCCGGCUGCAGCCCCAGCCGCCGGCUGGAGCAGUGAGUCAGCUGGAGCCAUGAGGUCGACAGAGAGGCACUCAUGGAAGGUCACAGGUCACCUGGCAGGAAGUGAUGUCACAGAGGAUAAAGGCUGGCAAUUCCAGGGAAACACAUUUUCCUAAAACACAUUUACUCACAUUUUUAGGCUGGGCUAGCUGACAAAGCACAGACACCCCUUGCUUAGAAGCUGCAGAAAAGGCAACUCCAUGAUGGGAAAAACAGAGGCAGGGGAGGGGUUCUAACAGAAUCCAGUGCAGGAGCAAGAAGAAUCGUUUAGUUUGAUCUCAGAAAAUUUCAUCACACCUCCCAGCAGUUUGAAUUUUUAAAAAUGGCUUUCAGAAGCACCAUUCCCCACGAAUGCACACAAGCCCCAAAGGAGAGAGAAAGAUCUUUAUUUUUUUUCAGCUUGCCAGCCACUGUAGGUCAUGCACAGGUCACUGGCCAGCACAGACUGCAGCCUGUGUGGAUCUUGUGCAAGAAGGAGCAGCGAGGUCGCCCAGAGGGCGGAGAGGUGUGGUGCUGGGGAGGGUGCUUCGCAGCUGGGGGGGCAGGAGGGAGGGGUCAUGGGGCAGUAGUGGGAGAGUUCUUGUGGAUUCAUUGCCUAUCCAGACCUCUCUGACCUUCAGAGCACCCUGCCUGGAGUGGAAGGAGGUGGGAGGUUUUACAGAAGGGCUGAAUAUGGCUGCCAUCUCUCGGGGGGGUUAGGGGGGUAACUCAGGAUGGCCACAAGGCAGGCCAAAUUUCUCUGCAGGCUCCUGGCUCCUUAAAAAAAACAAGAGUUAUCAAGCUAUGAAUGAUCAGGGAGCAAGUUUUAUUUGACAUGGAGGUUACUGAGUGCUGGUGGCCUUAGCUGAGCUUCAUGUAUUAUGUGUCUGCCUCUCUUUAGUUUUUCACUUCUGCUGGGGGUGAUUUCUGAAGGCUGUGUGUAGGUGACAAGUAGAGUAACAAUCAAGGAGGCCUAUUGGAUGGUUAAUUAGCUAAUUGGAUCAGGGGAUCUAUUCCAGCCAUUUCUAGAAGGAAUCCAGGGUAUCGGCUUCAACAACAUAGCUCAGUCAGCUGUUCCACACCCCCACCACCCUUUGUGUAAAGAAGUACCUCUGACACUCAGUUUAAGAUGCACUUCCCUGUAGUUUCCACUGCUGCCCUCAGGUUUGUGUUGCACUACUGAUUCUGAAGAAAUCCAUCAGGAUUUUUCAGUGCCCUGUCAGAUUUUGAAUUUGGAGGAUGAAGAAACAGCAUACAAGCACAUACAGGGAGAUAACGGUUUGCAUUUUUUUAAAGUAAUACUUAAUGAGUCAACCCAAUCCAGGAUGGUAGCUACUUAAGCCACAAUGUUUACCCAGGGCUCGUCCAGCUGGCAGUCUGUCCCGUUGUCCUGUCUGUGAAAACAGCCUCUGCACAGCUUCUAGCAGUGGCGCUUGUGUUUGUAAACAGUAAAAAAAAAAAUAAAGAAAAAACCGUCAACCACGCCUUCGAUGAAUUUCCACAUUUCCCGUGCGUGGCGGUCUCUUCCUCUC
Lepisosteus oculatus (spotted gar) is the source of this 3782-nucleotide long non-coding RNA. RefSeq lists it as uncharacterized. NCBI's taxonomy places the organism in Eukaryota, Metazoa, Chordata, Actinopteri, Semionotiformes, Lepisosteidae. The record is from RefSeq and is a predicted model, not a curated record.